UCCCCUGUAGCUCAAUUGGCAGAGCGUCGGACUGUUAAUCCGCAGGUUCCUGGUUCGAGUCCAGGCGGGGGAGCCA
This 76-nucleotide transfer RNA is filed under the name Propioniciclava tarda. RNAcentral describes it as "tRNA-Asn". It matches the Rfam family "tRNA". Rfam says of the family: Transfer RNA (tRNA) molecules are approximately 80 nucleotides in length. RNAcentral also lists the same sequence under 3 other names. The record is from RNAcentral. Lineage: Bacteria; Bacillati; Actinomycetota; Actinomycetes; Propionibacteriales; Propionibacteriaceae.